RNAcentral lists this ribosomal RNA (223 nucleotides) under uncultured bacterium. RNAcentral's name for it is "partial 16S ribosomal RNA". It matches the Rfam family "Bacterial small subunit ribosomal RNA", at positions 99 to 334 of the family's 1533-position model. The record is from RNAcentral.
CGGACGGGUGAGUAACGCGUAGGAAUCUAUCUUUGGGUGGGGGACGAACCGUGGGAAACUACGGCUAAUACCGCAUGAGGCCUGAGGGCCAAAGCUUGUGAGAGCGCCUGAGGAGGAGCCUGCGUCCGAUUAGCUAGUUGGUGGGGUAACGGCCUACCAAGGCUGCGAUCGGUAGCUGGUCUGAGAGGAUGAUCAGCCACACUGGGACUGAGACACGGCCCAG